CGCCUUGCCAGCCCGCUCAGAACUCAAUGGAAUUGACGGGGGCCCGCACAAGCGGAGGAACAUGUGGUUUAAUUCGAUGAUACGCGAGGAACCUUACCUGGGCUCAAAUGUAUGUUUGACGUAUUCUGAAAGGGAUACUUCUUCGGACAAUAUACAAGGUGCUGCAUGGUUGUCGUCAGCUCGUGCCGUGAGGUGUCGGGUUAAGUCCCAUAACGAGCGCAACCCCUACCUUUAGUUGCCAUCAGGUAAUGCUGGGGACUCUAAAGGAACUGCCUACGCAAGUAGUGAGGAAGGCGGGGAUGACGUCAAAUCAACACGGCCCUUACGUCCAGGGCUACACACGUGCUACAAUGGCCGAUACAGAGGGCAGCUACCUGGUGACAGGAUGCAAAUCUCCAAAGUCGGUCUCAGUUCGGAUCGGAGUCUGCAACCCGACUCCGUGAAGUUGGAUUCGCUAGUAAUCGCGCAUCAGCCAUGGCGCGGUGAAUACGUUCCCGGGCCUU
This 503-nucleotide ribosomal RNA is filed under the name uncultured Sphingobacteriales bacterium. Its description in RNAcentral is "bacterial SSU rRNA". It matches the Rfam family "Bacterial small subunit ribosomal RNA", at positions 903 to 1382 of the family's 1533-position model. Lineage: Bacteria; Pseudomonadati; Bacteroidota; Sphingobacteriia; Sphingobacteriales. The record is from RNAcentral.